This 254-nucleotide ribosomal RNA is filed under the name uncultured bacterium. Its description in RNAcentral is "partial 16S ribosomal RNA". It matches the Rfam family "Bacterial small subunit ribosomal RNA", at positions 524 to 776 of the family's 1533-position model. The record is from RNAcentral.
UACAGAGGUGCCAAGCGUUAGGCGGAAUCACUGGGCUUAAAGCGCGUGUAGGCGGGUCGUUAAGUGUCCGAGUGAAAUCCCACGGCUCAACCGUGGAACUGCCGGGCAUACUGGCGAUCUUGAGGCAUUCAGGGGCGAGCGGAACAAAUGGUGGAGCGGUGAAAUGCGUAGAUAUCAUUUGGAACGCCAAUGGUGGAAACAGCUCGCUGGGAAUGAUCUGACGCUGAGACGCGAAAGCCAGGGGAGCGAACGGG